AUUAAACGCUGGCGGCAUGCCUUACACAUGCAAGUCGAACGGUAGCGCGGGGCAACCUGGCGACGAGUGGCGAACGGGUGAGUAAAGCAUCGGAACGUGCCCUGGAAUGGGGGAUAACGUAGCGAAAGUUACGCUAAUACCGCAUAUUCUGUGAGCAGGAAAGCAGGGGAUCGCAAGACCUUGCGUUCUGGGAGCGGCCGAUGUCGGAUUAGCUAGUUGGUGGGUAAAAGCCUACCAAGGCGACGAUCCGUAGCGGGUCUGAGAGGAUGAUCCGCCACACUGGGACUGAGACACGGCCCAGACUCCUACGGGAGGCAGCAGUGGGGAAUUUUGGACAAUGGGCGGAAGCCUGAUCCAGCCAUGCCGCGUGAGUGAAGAAGGCCU
RNAcentral lists this ribosomal RNA (384 nucleotides) under uncultured bacterium. RNAcentral's name for it is "bacterial SSU rRNA". It matches the Rfam family "Bacterial small subunit ribosomal RNA", at positions 29 to 417 of the family's 1533-position model. The record is from RNAcentral.